AAAGAAGUAGUGAUGCUGAGUGCUGCUGCUGGUCCAUAGAUCACACAUUGAGAGGCUGAAGAACAGAGAGCUUCCACUGUUCUCUUCUGAGGCCCUCAAAUUCAUUCCAAUUUCUGGGCCCAGUGGUGAGGAUGAUUAUAAGGUGAAGAGUUGGACAAAUGUGGUCAAGAACUGCUGUCAGCCCUAUACUCCCCCAUGGAGAAUAUGCAAGAGAAUGAAAAAGCCAAAGGCCAAAAAGAAAGAGUGGAAGAGAACCAGAUCAGCAAAACUGGGGAUAGUCACCACUUCUUCUACCCUUGCCACGGUCUCUCCAGAAGACUGGGAGCCGGUCACACAGACCAAGGGUGAGGUCCUCAUAAUUGACCUUUCAGGUGAAGCCUAACUCUCCUCCUCUUGAAUGUGGGCCGAAGUGACUUGCUUCUAAUGAACGGAAUCUGGUGGAAGAGAUGGUCUGUGACUUCCAAGACGAGGUCAUAAAAGACAUUGCAGCUUCCUCCUUGUCCUCCCUUGUGAAUUGUGGGCUGCUCACUCUGGGGGAAACUAGCUGCUGUGCCAUAAGAACACUCAAACAGCCCUGUGGAGAGGAUCUCGUGGCAAGGAAAUGUGGAUUCCUGCCAACAGCCAAAGAACUAAGGCCUUCCAGCAAAUAACCACUGAGUGAGCCAAACUGGGAGUGAAUCUUCCAGCACCAAUGAAUCCUCAGAAAGACUACAGCUCCAGCUGACAUCUUGAACGCCACCUCAUGAGAGGUCCUGACCUGGAGCCACCCUGCUAAGCUGCUCCCAGAUUCCUGACCCUCAGAAACCAUAUUAUAAGCUAGUUGUCACCUGCUACAUGUGGAAAGGAGAUGUUUGGCAUGGCACUGAUCAAUGUGUAUAUUUGCUGAGAAGUUUACCCCAGGAGAAAAGAGAAAACAAGCUGUGUGAAUGGAAUUUGGAGAAAGAGUGAAAACAAAAUGCUUCCUACAUCUACUUUUGAAACACGAAAGUACCUCCUUUUAAUGGAAAAUGUCUGGGAGUCACUGCCUUGAAAAAAUUUCUAAAAAGUACUCUCAACAUCCUAAACUAUAGGAAAAUAACUUGUGGAUAAUGAGCUCCACAUUCUUUCUCUCCUUCUUUGCCCUCUUUAUCUCCGAGAAUGUGAGGAGUUGGCAUUGAACAUAGCAGUGACUUAUGGACAACCUCAAAGGUCUAUGGGAAAAAAAAAAUCUGCAGUUUUGCUGAGGCAAGCAUCAGAAUCCCAAACAUUAUUGUCUGAGAACAAAUCACUUGAUUAGUGAGUGGGCUCAGCCAUCCACCUGGUAUUCACAUCUUAGGCAAGAUCUUAUGGUUCUCUAUAAUCAUCACAUCUGCAAUAAAUUCUGCGAAAAGA
This is a long non-coding RNA of Canis lupus familiaris (dog), 1371 nucleotides long. RefSeq lists it as uncharacterized. The transcript is spliced from 7 exons. Lineage: Eukaryota; Metazoa; Chordata; Mammalia; Carnivora; Canidae. The record is from RefSeq and is a predicted model, not a curated record.